Raphanus sativus (radish) is the source of this 3442-nucleotide long non-coding RNA. RefSeq lists it as uncharacterized. The transcript is spliced from 5 exons. The record is from RefSeq and is a predicted model, not a curated record. NCBI's taxonomy places the organism in Eukaryota, Viridiplantae, Streptophyta, Magnoliopsida, Brassicales, Brassicaceae.
UAUGCCGACACUUUCCUUUCCUUUUUUUUUGGUAAAAUGUUAAGUACACUUUCCUUUCCUUUUCUCCAAAACUUCUCUCAAAUUAGCAAAACAUUGACAAUCGCAGUUGUUUCCAAUGAGAAGAUAGAACAAAAAAAUCAGAAGGAGUAGUCUCAUUUCCUGUUCAUCUCUGUGUGUUAUACGAAGGUAAGUAUCCCAACAUGUUCUUCGAUUAUUAUAACUUCUUCUUCUUUUUGCUUUUUGGUUUUUAACAAAAAUCUUAUAUGCAGUUGCAAGAGUAAAUACUUUCUUAAGUGAAUUUAGACGCAAUCUAGAUUAGAGAUUGAUUUUUCUGAACCGUAAAUGUAGCAUCUGCAUAUCUUAUUUUUCUAUAAACUAGAAUCUCUGUCCGCGCUACAAAUUUGGAUGGAAGUUGAUACGUCCUGAGAUUGGACAGGAUCACUCAAAGCUUAUUUUAUUUCAUUGAUCAAAUGGCCUUUAUAUAAUAGGCAAGGCAUACAAAAGGUUUAGUCAAAACCUAGAAACUUGUAAGCUAAUAAAUAUUAAAAUUUGACCAAAGAACAAAGACCAAGACUUUUGACCGAAAAUGGGAAUUUGUGGUCGCAAAACUCUUCGGUUGAUCUCGUCCUUUUGCAUAGCCGACGGGCUCUGGAUUACCGUCAGAUUGAUAUAUUAUUUGACCAUACCUUCUCGUUUCUUGUUAGGCCUUUAUUUCUUUGGGCUGAACCAUGUUCAUAAACAUAUUUUCAUAAAUCGUCAAGCCCGUCUCGUUUAAAACUCAAGCCCAAAAACCAAACUUUCUUAAUUUGUUUAUGCUGCUGAUUUAGGGCACAUCAUUCCCUCCUUCUUUAAAAAGAUUUGCCCUCAAAUCUGUCUUUCUUUAGCUUCAGAUAGAAUGAUCUUUUGACUUUUCGUAGAACUUUUUUUUUUUUUUAGAAAGGAAGAUGAAAGGUAGAAGGUGGAUGAUGGAAAGAUGAGAAAAAUAAACAGAUAGUACCGGUUGAGUGGCUCUGAUACCACUUGAUACGUCCUGAGAUUGGACAGGAUCACUCAAAGCUUAUUUUAUUUCAUUGAUCAAAUGGCAUUUAUAUAAUAGGCAAGGCAUACAAAAGGUUUAGUCAAAACCUAGAAACUUGUAAGCUAAUAAAUAUUAAAAUUUGACCAAAGAACAAAGACCAAGACUUUUGACCGAAAAUGGGAAUUUGUGGUCGCAAAACUCUUCGGUUGAUCUCGUCCUUUUGCAUAGCCGACGGGCUCUGGAUUGCCGUCAGAUUGAUAUAUUAUUUGACCAUACCUUCUUGUUUCUUGUUAGGCCUUUAUUUCUUUGGGCUGAACCAUGUUCAUAAACAUAUUUUCAUAAAUCGUCAAGCCCGUCUCGUUUAAAACUCAAGCCCAAAAACCAAACUUUCUUAAUUUGUUUAUGCUGCUGAUUUAGGGCACAUCAGAAGUCUCCAAAGGAUUAGAAAAUUUAAUUGGUACAUUUAUUUUGGUAAAUAUUGUGAUUAGUUAACCAUUUGAUAUUUUUGCAAGGAGAUGUCUGCGAUUAUUUUACCCAGAAGGUAGGUGAUAGCAGUGGCUAAGUGUAGAAGCUGACUGAAAUUGCAAAGGGAGAAGUUGUGCGCAGGAAAGUUUUGGAAUUGUGUCUUCUAAUUUUGUGACACUUGUUGCAUGGUUGAUAUCAAUUAAGUAUGGCUGCGGAAUAAGCUUGUAUUUGUGAUUGUUUGGUGAGAGCUGGUAUAUAUCUCCUGCUGAUAGAAGUUUAGGUUCCUCAGUUGUUACGUUAUGUGAGAGCCGCCCUUCUAGAGUUUGUCCCUGAAUGGAGAGCAAAUGGUUAUUUGUUUUUUGGUUGUAUUCUAAUUGACAUAGAUAAAUAGCAAACAUCUAAGUUAAAACGUAUGAAAGCGGUGCCCAGGUUGGUGUUGGUGUGAUUUAUGAUGGGCCAAAGAUGUCUUACACAAACUAAUAUUGGUGUUGUUGAGACUUGUUCUUCAAGUUUGGCUGCUCAAGUGAAUAGUGUGGCGUGGAGUUGGUUCUCUGUCAACAAAGAAAAUGAUUUAUUUUAUGUGAAAUAUAUUUUCUGAAAACAUUGUUUUCAUUUUUGAACUGUAGAAGUCAGUAUGUUUGUGAUAUAUAUAUAUAUAUAUAUAUGGAAUGUCUAUCUCGAAGAUGUUAUUACCUUCGCCCCGUUGAACUCCGCUUCAAGUAGAUCAUGACAGUGUCGAAUGGUUUUAUUCUCCACUCGGAUGAGUUUUUGUCAGAAGAAUCUCCAAAGUUCUUGGAACAUUCACACAUAUCAUUUGAAGAUAUCAUGGUUUCCUUGGACGUUGGAGCAAUGGGGUUUCCAACUGUGGUUGUUAUAGCUGGCUGAGCUUUUGGAGAGAGGAUCUUUGUGACAGACUGACAGUUAAAGCUCGAGUGUUCCCUGUUAAGUUGUGCUCUGAAACUUCCACACUGAAUUUGUGUUUUUGAUCAAUGGUGUCAAUCAAAGCUUGUGGGACAGGCACUUCAUGGGCAACGCCUUUGUUUUCAGUAGCCUAACAUUGAAGUAAAAAAAUUUAACUCACGACCGACAUCACCAAGUAGGACAAAAACUGUCUGCUCACUACUGUCACAAACGAAGAUCUUAAUACCUGUUAUGAAGGAAAAUGAGAAGCCAAUAGGAGCAAAACGUAAUUGAAUAUUGAGGCUAGAGCUCAUACUCUGCAACACCGGCUACGUUAACCUUUCCUCGCUUUGUACACAUCAGCGAGAUUCCUGCUUGAUGUAGGAGAACAUUUCUGCUAUAGUCAGUCUCAGGAUUAGUGACCACCUCUGCAGCCUGGUCCCAAAGGUAGAGUUUCAUCAAAGGUCUGCUGCAAAAGAUAAGCUCUGACGGGUUUAGAGAAGUACCAAGAAAUGGUGACUUGAAAAAGAAAGCACACGUACCCAUGUGAUUUCACAAGAACCAAAAGAUGCCGCGUCGUAGCUAUCUCAACUUCAUCAAGGAUGGGACCCUCAAUGAAAGUAUGUCCAUUGACCAGCUUCAUGUGGCCAACAACAUCUAUUACAUUGGUCACGAAGAGUGAACAAAAUAUAAAGACUACAUCCAAUCAGAAAACGAUGUUACUCAGAGAUGAUAUGAAAUAUUAGUGGCCUUACCAUAGAGGUCACCUUUGAUGUCACAGUUAGCUUCGAAAUGGAACCGGAACCGGUCUUCGUCAGAGUUCUAUGAUAGAGUUCUAUGAGAAAGAAACGGUUGCGAUAUGAUCAGCAACCCGAUACACCGGUUUGUUUUGGAUCCGUAGAAGUUGAAGAGUCUGUAAACUGAUCCUUGUUUCAUGUCAGGCAAAUACUUUUUAACACGUCUGGAUGUAAUGAUUCAUUGAAUAACAGUUCCCUGUCAAGAAAAACAUGAUCGAAGUUGUGUUGUUUUAAAAAUCAAAUAACGACAACGGUGUUCUUA